GAAUAUCACAAGUAAAUGGUUUCGUGGGCUCUGUAAAGGUUGUGUAUCUGUUGUGCCAAAUUAUCUUCCCCAAAAGGUUUAUCAAUCUGCAUCCCCCACAGCAGUGUCCGAAAUUGCUCUUUUAUUCCCUCUGAUGGAAGCUACAUUUUUUCUGUUUGAAUUGCAGUCACCAAACGUGAAGCAAAACUGUGUCUACUUGGGGAUUUAUUUUUCCUUAUCCUGCUCAAGGUGUUGCUUUUCCCAUCUGCCUCGUGCUUUUCAUCAGUUCUGGAACGUUCUCAGCCCUGGUGGCUUUAAAUAUUGCCUCUUCUGAGUUGCUCCAGGCUCUCCUCCAGGACCUCCUGUCUGGUAGACAUUGAAUGUGCUCCUCCUUUUGUCUGAGCCUUGAAGCCCCUCUGUCUGAUUCCUGAAUGGUUUCUUCAAAUCACUAAUUCCAGUUGGCGGUCAACGUGUCCGCUUCGUUUCAUUUCGUUUCAUUUCUGCGGUUCUACUUUCUUCCCUUUCAGACCCCCCUGCUGUAUUUUUCCCAUAAUGUCGUGUUCUUGCUUUGUGGUGUCUUUUCUUCCCUUUAUCUCUUGAAAUACUUUAAACACACUUAUUUUAACGUUCCUUUGAAGUUGUCCUAUUUUCUGUGCUUCCCGGAGUGUAAUUGAUCCCUUUCAUUACUUCUGCUAUUUCUUCCAUGGGGCCUGAGUCUCGGCUCUCCCCAUGGCGUAGGCCAAGCCCGAACCCAGGCCCUGCUCAUUGGCCCAGCGACCCCAGGAGCCCCCGGCUUCUAGUGCCCUCACGGCUCCAGUUUCCUCUUGCUUUCUGGGACCCUGGAAUUUUGCUUUCUUGCUUUUAGCCUUGGCACGUGUAUGUGCACGGUGGUGUGUGUGAGCUUGCACGUGUGUAUGUGUGUGUGUGCACUUUAUGGUGUAUGCUGUGUGGUGAAGGGGGCUCUCUGUGCCAGCUCUGCCUCCCAUCUUAAAGUCUCACUCAAAAAUUACUUACUCAUCAACUAAUAAUAGUAGCAAUGAUAGUAAUUCAAUGUGUCUCUGAGGUUCCAGGAGACUUUAUAGCCCUCAUCACAGCCACAGCUCACACUAGUGGGUGUUUAAAUAGCACAUGUGAUCUUAUUUAAUUCUUUGAAUAACCUUUGUCAUUAUCCCCAUUUUACAGAUAAGUAAACUGUGGAAGGAUGGGAAAAAUGAAUUGGCACUGCUGGAGAUUAUGCAGAGGGCUGGUGAGAGGGGCAGGCUUCGAAACCCGACCCUGCUCUCUGCCCGAGCGUCCACUCAAGUCCUGGAGUGGGAGGCUCUGAGGUGGGCACCUCCAGCUUCUGCAGUGCUGAGGGGAGCCUUGUUCUUCUUCCUUCUCAGGACGGGAGGCCAAGGGGCUGGGAUGGCAGGUGCCGUGAACAGCGAGCGCCCAGAGUUGGCCAAAAGCACAGCGGAGGUGCAAAUCCAGCAGCCUGACUGGGCCAAAACUGUGGCUGGUGAUGAUGGCAGGUAUGCGUCCUGCAACAGUAGAAGGUGAGAGAGGCAGGUAUACCGAGGUCUUGGAGGAACACAGCCAGCUAUCAACUUCAGUCCUCACUCUGUGGCUGCCAACACAGUCUUUGAGGUCAGUAGAAAGAAUCUAACACACACUCCGUGGCUUUUCUUCCCAGAAACCUCCUUCUUUCAGCCCUGUCCCCCUAAUGCCCAGGCAUUCCUGUGGCCUCCCUCUCCCUGACUUUUGUUUAGAGAUCGUGGUCCUUUGGGAUCAACCCUGAUGAGGCCUGGGUUGCCCUGACCAGUGCUAGAUUUAGGGAAUCUUUUAUCAUACCUCACUUUGGGGUCAGCUUGGGAUUCAAAGAACCAAAAGGUAGCAGAGGGAUUUGAGAAAUGCUUAAGGAGUGAAACUGUCAUGACUUGGUGAUGAUGAAAGUUGGGGAGGCACCAGUGGGAAGAAGACUUUGGCUUGGUCUUUGUCUUGGCUAACCACUGCCCCUGGGUGAGUUCUGGUGACAUUGAAGGCUUUACCUGCCCAUGGUCGUAGCCGAAGGCCACAGGGCCAAGGUCUUCCUUUGAUGCCCCUCCACACCCUCUGGUUCCCUCAGAGAGAAAGUUUCUUCCUCUGGCUUCCCAUGAGAACUGGGCCCUUUCUCCGGCCCCAACCGGGCAGCGGGAGCUGAUUCCCACAUUCCAGCCUUAGGCUAAGGUCCUUCUGAUAUUGCAAAGAUAUCCCAGAACUGUGGGAUCCCGAGCUGCAAAUACCCCAGAUGGCUGAAGCGCUCUUAACUGUACUACAUUUAACAAAUUCACUGGACUGCCCCCCUGCAGACCACACCACCACCCUGUGCUCGCCCUGUCCUUCCAGUGGCCGGCUGCUUGGCAGACAGCCUGUGCCCUUCUGCUCCCACUGGAAUGUGCAGCUCAUCAUGAAGAGUUGAAUAAGACAUGGGUCUCAUUCAAAAGACCCCUCCAAAAAGAUACAGUGAGCUCCUAACCCCUGGAACCUAUAAAUGGGACCAUAUUUGGAAAUAGGGUCUUUACAGAUGCAAACAAGUUAAGAAGGGUCCUACUGGAUUAGAGCAGACCUUAAUCCAACAUAUAUGACUGGUGUCCUUGUAAGAAGAGGAGAAGACACGCAGAGACAGCUGCACGGCACUGUGCAUGGUAGUGUCUGCAUGACAAUGUGUGUGAGCUUGCGUGUGUGUGUGUAUGCACUUUAUGGGGUAUGCUGUGUUGUGAGGGGGGCUCUCUGUGGUGUGACUGGUGUCCUUAUAUGACUGGUGUCCUUAUAAGAAGAGGGGAAGACACACAGAGACAGCCGCACACAAGGAGAAGGCCAUGUGAGGGUGGAGAUGGAGACCGGGGUGAUGUUUUUACAGCCAAGAAACAGAAAGAAUUGUGGUAGACGGACAUGGAACAGAUUGGAGCCUCCGGAAGGAACCAACCCAGCAGUCCAGGGAACCUCUUCACUUGGACUUCUGGCAUCUAGAACAAAUAUCUGUUGCUCUAAGCCUCCUGGUUAGUGGUACCUGUUAGGGCAGCCCCAGGAAGCUAAUGCACCAACCCAGAGUCCUCUGUGUUUUGUUCCCAAACCUGCUUAUACCAGUUGCCUUUGUUAUUGUAAUGAGGUAAUUGAGUUAAACGUUACAUAAGCCCAUCGCUCUAAGUAUGAAAAGAGAGCUGCAGCUCUGAAAACCGCAUCAACUGCUUUGGAAAGAAUAGAUAAAGGUAAGUUCUUAAAUCUAUUGCAGUUGAAUUAGGUUGGGCAAGUCAACCAUGAAAGAUUGGAAAAUAAAUCAUAUGAAUCUAAAAGGAUUCUAACCUCAGAUUGUUUUAUAUGUGACUUCAAGUUCUCAGUCCACCCCAAAGAAACCUAAACUAGAAAUGAAAGAUUGAAUAUUACAAGUGUGUUUUAUGAGAGGGAGAGAGAGAUUGGAAUUCCAAUCAGGGGAACUGUGCUCAAAGAAAAGGGCUUUGCCUUAUAGCAAAUGACUAACAAAAUGACAUCGUGUUAUAUGUUUCAUGUUAAAACGAAAAUAUGUAUGGCACCCAUGUUGCAUUUUUUUAUCUUUCCCCACUUUGUCCAACUUUCACUUAACCAAAUAACCCAGUUAUGUCAGUUUGGAGGGUUUUUCUCGACAUCCAAGCUCUUUCUCCAAAGUCUGGCUGUGCUUUGAAAAAAAUCCUAAGCAAAUGGAAGAGGGAAAAAAGAUCUUAGAUUCUUGGCGUCUGUGUAUUUGGCCACACUUGUGAGCACCCCAUAGCUGUCCUCCAAAUUCUACUUGCUAUUAUUAUUUAAUGAUUCAUUCACCUGUUACUGUCAUUUCCUGGCUAUGGAGAUUUCCUCCUCAGCUGCCAGUUCCCUGAAGGCAGGGCCCUAUGGCAUAGCUUGUUCACAUAAGAGUCCUUCCCUGCACGGUGUUUGUAAACAUAAGCUGACGCUUUUAGGCACCG
Molecule: long non-coding RNA, 3932 nt
Filed under: Pan troglodytes (chimpanzee)
Lineage: Eukaryota; Metazoa; Chordata; Mammalia; Primates; Hominidae
Description: long non-coding RNA NONPTRT000055
Source: RNAcentral